GCUCAGAUUGAACGCUGGCGGCAGGCCUAACACAUGCAAGUCGAGCGGUAGCACAGAGAGCUUGCUCUCGGGUGACGAGCGGCGGACGGGUGAGUAAUGUCUGGGAAACUGCCUGAUGGAGGGGGAUAACUACUGGAAACGGUAGCUAAUACCGCAUAACGUCGCAAGACCAAAGAGGGGGACCUUCGGGCCUCUUGCCAUCAGAUGUGCCCAGAUGGGAUUAGCUAGUAGGUGGGGUAAUGGCUCACCUAGGCGACGAUCCCUAGCUGGUUUGAGAGGAUGACCAGCCACACUGGAACUGAGACACGGUCCAGACUCCUACGGGAGGCAGCAGUGGGGAAUAUUGCACAAUGGGCGCAAGCCUGAUGCAGCCAUGCCGCGUGUAUGAAGAAGGCCUUCGGGUUGUAAAGUACUUUCAGCGAGGAGGAAGGCAUUGUGGUUAAU
RNAcentral lists this ribosomal RNA (444 nucleotides) under Lelliottia amnigena. Its description in RNAcentral is "bacterial SSU rRNA". It matches the Rfam family "Bacterial small subunit ribosomal RNA", at positions 22 to 464 of the family's 1533-position model. The record is from RNAcentral. Lineage: Bacteria; Pseudomonadati; Pseudomonadota; Gammaproteobacteria; Enterobacterales; Enterobacteriaceae.